UUUCUAUAGGAUCCAAUCCUAUUGUUCAUCUUUUUCUGGGUGGUAACUCAUUUGUGCUUCUAUGAUUUGAGCAUUGUUUAGGCAUCUCCCCUACUUGCUCUCAAAGAAGAACUAGAGUCGAUAUUUCUACCACUUAUUCAUUCGAAGCAGCCAGGACAAAGUUAUAACAGUUAAAUUCAGUAAGUGCCUCUAUGUUUUUACCUCAGCCAUUAAGUUGGAUACUGCGUUAGUGAAUUCAUUCAUGAUUGCAGGAUCAGCCAUGUGCAUGGAGAAGCAAGGAUGUGUGUGAAAAAAAAUAUUUGCUUUCGUUGAGAGUCCAACUCAAGACCUCUCGUCUAUUGCUCUAACCAUCUGAGCUAAGAAAGCUGGCAAUGUACAGUGUACGAAACUUUAAAUAAUAGAAUGCUUAUGAAUGCAUAUUAUUAUUCGCUGAGGAAUUCAUUCUUUCCUUCCAAUUCAAGGAUUUUUU
RNAcentral lists this unclassified non-coding RNA (469 nucleotides) under Hevea brasiliensis (rubber tree). The record is from RNAcentral. Lineage: Eukaryota; Viridiplantae; Streptophyta; Magnoliopsida; Malpighiales; Euphorbiaceae.